This 492-nucleotide ribosomal RNA is filed under the name uncultured bacterium. Its description in RNAcentral is "partial 16S ribosomal RNA". It matches the Rfam family "Bacterial small subunit ribosomal RNA", at positions 28 to 507 of the family's 1533-position model. The record is from RNAcentral.
GGUGAACGCUGGCGGUAGGCCUAGCACAUGCAAGUCGAACGGCAGCACAGUAAGAGCUUGCUCUUACGGGUGGCGAGUGGCGGACGGGUGAGGAAUACAUCGGAAUCUACUUUUUCGUGGGGGAUAACGUAGGGAAACUUACGCUAAUACCGCAUACGACCUACGGGUGAAAGCAGGGGAUCUUCGGACCUUGCGCGAUUGAAUGAGCCGAUGUCGGAUUAGCUAGUUGGCGGGGUAAAGGCCCACCAAGGCGACGAUCCGUAGCUGGUCUGAGAGGAUGAUCAGCCACACUGGAACUGAGACACGGUCCAGACUCCUACGGGAGGCAGCAGUGGGGAAUAUUGGACAAUGGGCGCAAGCCUGAUCCAGCCAUACCGCGUGGGUGAAGAAGGCCUUCGGGUUGUAAAGCCCUUUUGUUGGGAAAGAAAAGCAGCAGGUUAAUACCCCGCUGUUCUGACGGUACCCAAAGAAUAAGCACCGGCUAACUUCGUG